AUGAUGAGGGAGAUUUCGGCCGAGUGGUGAGGAGACUCGCAUGGGCUGA
This 49-nucleotide small nucleolar RNA is filed under the name Pyrococcus horikoshii OT3. RNAcentral's name for it is "PHOsR4". The record is from RNAcentral. Lineage: Archaea; Methanobacteriati; Methanobacteriota; Thermococci; Thermococcales; Thermococcaceae.